This 253-nucleotide ribosomal RNA is filed under the name uncultured bacterium. Its description in RNAcentral is "partial 16S ribosomal RNA". It matches the Rfam family "Bacterial small subunit ribosomal RNA", at positions 524 to 776 of the family's 1533-position model. The record is from RNAcentral.
UACGUAGGUCCCGAGCGUUAUCCGGAAUUAUUGGGCGUAAAGAGCAUGUAGGCGGUCUAUUAAGUCUGGUGUGAAAUCUAGUGGCUCAACCACUAAAUUGCAUUGGAAACUGAUAGACUAGAAUACUGGAGGGGCAAGUGGAAUUCCAUGUGUAGCGGUGGAAUGCGUAGAUAUAUGGAGGAACACCAAUGGCGAAGGCAGCUUGCUGGACAGUAAUUGACGCUGAGAUGCGAAAGCGUGGGUAGCAAACAGG